AGUGAACGCUGGCGGUAGGCCUAACACAUGCAAGUCGAACGGCAGCACAGUAAGAGCUUGCUCUUACGGGUGGCGAGUGGCGGACGGGUGAGGAAUACAUCGGAAUCUACUUUUUCGUGGGGGAUAACGUAGGGAAACUUACGCUAAUACCGCAUACGACCUACGGGGGAAAGCAGGGGAUCUUCGGACCUUGCGCGAUUGAAUGAGCCGAUGUCGGAUUAGCUAGUUGGCGGGGUAAAGGCCCACCAAGGCGACGAUCCGUAGCUGGUCUGAGAGGAUGAUCAGCCACACUGGAACUGAGACACGGUCCAGACUCCUACGGGAGGCAGCGGUGGGGAAUAUUGGACAAUGGGCGCAAGCCUGAUCCAGCCAUACCGCGUGGGUGAAGAAGGCCUUCGGGUUGUAAAGCCCUUUUGUUGGGAAAGAAAAGCAGCAGGUUAAUACCCCGCUGUUCUGACGGUACCCAAAGAAUAAGCACCGGCUAACUUCGU
RNAcentral lists this ribosomal RNA (491 nucleotides) under uncultured bacterium. RNAcentral's name for it is "partial 16S ribosomal RNA". It matches the Rfam family "Bacterial small subunit ribosomal RNA", at positions 29 to 506 of the family's 1533-position model. The record is from RNAcentral.